GAUGAACGCUGGCGGCGUGCCUAAUACAUGCAAGUCGAGCGAACAGACGAGGAGCUUGCUCCUUUGACGUUAGCGGCGGACGGGUGAGUAACACGUGGAUAACCUACCUAUAAGACUGGGAUAACUUCGGGAAACCGGAGCUAAUACCGGAUAACAUGUUGAACCGCAUGGUUCAACAGUGAAAGACGGUCUUGCUGUCACUUAUAGAUGGAUCCGCGCCGCAUUAGCUAGUUGGUAAGGUAACGGCUUACCAAGGCAACGAUGCGUAGCCGACCUGAGAGGGUGAUCGGCCACACGGGAACUGAGACACGGUCCAGACUCCUACGGGAGGCAGCAGUAGGGAAUCUUCCGCAAUGGGCGAAAGCCUGACGGAGCAACGCCGCGUGAGUGAAGAAGGUCUUCGGAUCGUAAAACUCUGUUAUUAGGGAAGAACAAAUGUGUAAGUAACUAUGCACGUCUUGACGGUACCUAAUCAGAAAGCCACGGCUAACUACGUG
This 497-nucleotide ribosomal RNA is filed under the name uncultured bacterium. RNAcentral's name for it is "partial 16S ribosomal RNA". It matches the Rfam family "Bacterial small subunit ribosomal RNA", at positions 28 to 507 of the family's 1533-position model. The record is from RNAcentral.